This 21-nucleotide non-coding RNA is filed under the name Caenorhabditis elegans. The record is from RNAcentral. Lineage: Eukaryota; Metazoa; Nematoda; Chromadorea; Rhabditida; Rhabditidae.
UGUUUCUUCAAUACAGUUAAU